This 810-nucleotide non-coding RNA is filed under the name Phyllobrotica quadrimaculata. The record is from RNAcentral. Lineage: Eukaryota; Metazoa; Arthropoda; Insecta; Coleoptera; Chrysomelidae.
CAGAAACCUAUUUUAUUUCGGUUAGGUAUAUAUAUAUAUAUAUGUUUAUUGAAAUAAAAUAAAAAAUAAAAUUAAAAUUUAGUUUGGAAAAUUAGAUAUAAUUUUUUAUUAUAUAUGAAUUUUUAUUAAAGAGUUUUUUAUAGUAUUUAAAAUUAAUUUUUAAUGGAAAUUAGAGUUAGAAAUAAUUAAUAGUUUUAACAAAAUUUGUGCCAGCAGUUGCGGUUAUACAAAUAAUAUAAUUUAAUUUUAUUGAUAGUAAUUAAUUUGAAUUUUAAUUUUAUGAAAUAAUUUAUUAGGUGAAAUUUUAAAUUUUUUUUAUAAAUUAUAUUUAUUUAAUGAUUUUAAAAAAUUUAAAAUAAAGACUAGGAUUAGAUACCCUAUUAUUUUGAAUGUAAUAAUUUAUAUUGAAUUAUUAAUAGUUAUGUUCUUUAAAUUUAAAAAUUUUGGCGGUAUUUUAGUCUUUUCAGAGGAACCUGUUUUAUAAGUGAUAGUCCACGAUUAAAUAAACUUUUUUUAAAAAAUUUACAUAUCGUCGUAAUAAAAUAUUUUCAAAGAAUUAAAAUAUUUAAAAUUUUUUAUUAAAAAAGUAAUCAGAUCAAGGUGUAGUUUAUAAAAAAGAUUUAAUGGGUUACAAUAAAUUUAUUUUAGGAUAUUAGUUAGUAAAGUUGAUUAAAUGUGGAUUUGAUAGUAAUUAUAAUUAUUUUAUUAUUAUGAUUUUAGCUCUAAAAUAUGUACAUAUCGCCCGUCGCUUUCAUUAUAAUAUGAAAUAAGUCGUAACAAAGUAGGUUUACUGGAAAGUGAAUCUAGAUU